CUACGGGGUGCAGCAGGCGAGAAAACUUUGCAAUGUGCGAAAGCACGACAAGGUUAAUCCGAGUGGUUUGUGCUAAACGAACCUUUUGACAGUCCUAGAAACACUGUUGAAUAAGGGGUGGGCAAGUUCUGGUGUCAGCCGCCGCGGUAAAACCAGCACCUCAAGUGGUCAGGAUGAUUAUUGGGCCUAAAGCAUCCGUAGCCGGCUCUGUAAGUUUUCGGUUAAAUCUGUACGCUCAACGUACAGGCUGCCGGGAAUACUGCAGAGCUAGGGAGUGGGAGAGGUAGACGGUACUCGGUAGGAAGGGGUAAAAUCCUUUGAUCUAUUGAUGACCACCUGUGGCGAAGGCGGUCUACCAGAACACGUCCGACGGUGAGGGAUGAAAGCUGGGGGAGCAAACCGGAUUAGAUACCCGCGUAGUC
RNAcentral lists this ribosomal RNA (422 nucleotides) under uncultured archaeon. Its description in RNAcentral is "partial 16S ribosomal RNA". It matches the Rfam family "Archaeal small subunit ribosomal RNA", at positions 323 to 746 of the family's 1478-position model. The record is from RNAcentral.